This 667-nucleotide ribosomal RNA is filed under the name Mucor sp. 11MA02. RNAcentral describes it as "eukaryotic LSU rRNA". The stretch from base 283 to 435 matches the Rfam family "5.8S ribosomal RNA". The record is from RNAcentral. Lineage: Eukaryota; Fungi; Mucoromycota; Mucoromycetes; Mucorales; Mucoraceae.
GAGGAAGUAAAAGUCGUAACAAGGUUUCCGUUAGGUGAACCUGCGGAAGGAUCAUUAAAUAAUUUAGAUGGCCUUUGCUAGUUUUCUAGCGAAUGGUUCAUUCUUUUUUACUGUGAACUGUUUUAAUUUUUCAGCGUCUGAGGAAUGUCUUUUAGCCAUAGGGAUAGGCUACUAGAAUGUUAACCGAGCUGAAAGUCAGGCUUAGGCCUGGUAUCCUAUUAAUUAUUUACCAAAAGAAUUCAGUAUUAUAAUUGUAACAUAAGCGUAAAAAACUUAUAAAACAACUUUUAACAACGGAUCUCUUGGUUCUCGCAUCGAUGAAGAACGUAGCAAAGUGCGAUAACUAGUGUGAAUUGCAUAUUCAGUGAAUCAUCGAGUCUUUGAACGCAACUUGCGCUCAAUGGUAUUCCAUUGAGCACGCCUGUUUCAGUAUCAAAAACACCCCACAUUCAUAAUUUUGUUGUGAAUGGAAUUGAGAGUUUCGGCUUUAUUGCUGAAUUCUUUAAAAUUAUUAGGCCUGAACUAUUGUUCUUUCUGCCUGAACAUUUUUUUAAUAUAAAGGAAUGCUCUAGUAAAAAGACUAUCUCUGGGGCCUCCCAAAUAAAUCAUUCUUAAAUUUGAUCUGAAAUCAGGCGGGGAUUACCCGCUGAACUUAAGCAUAUCAAUA